CGAGCCAACAGAAGAUCGCACGACAGGCCAGAGACUUGUGCACACGUGACUUCGUGCAUCGCGGAAUAUGCAUAAGAUGUGCAAGUGCUGCGCGAGUCCAAAGAAAAAGAGGAAACUUUAAACUAGGCGCGCAUUGGCGUGGUAGAAGUGGACGAAGUGCAGCGUGAUCUCGCUCUUCAUCAACUCUCGUAAUCGUACUCCUUAAGUUGGAAAGUUCGUUUAACGUGUAACGCGAAAUAAUGGAGAAUUUUUUUGGAAGAGAUUUGGAAGUUUGGCGUGAUUCUUUUUUUUUUUUUUUUUUUUUUUUUAUUAGAUCACAAGAAGAUUUACAAGAAGAAAAUUAUCAUGGAUGGGUGAUUGCAACGAUGCUCCUCUUUUCCAUUUUUUAUUUAUUCUCUUUCGAACGAAAUUACGUAUCGUCGAAGAUAAUUAAAAUUUGAAACGUAUACCG
Apis laboriosa (Himalayan honeybee) is the source of this 451-nucleotide long non-coding RNA. RefSeq lists it as uncharacterized. The transcript has 2 exons. The record is from RefSeq and is a predicted model, not a curated record. Lineage: Eukaryota; Metazoa; Arthropoda; Insecta; Hymenoptera; Apidae.